RNAcentral lists this ribosomal RNA (374 nucleotides) under uncultured organism. Its description in RNAcentral is "partial 16S ribosomal RNA". It matches the Rfam family "Bacterial small subunit ribosomal RNA", at positions 527 to 896 of the family's 1533-position model. The record is from RNAcentral.
GUAGGUGGCAAGCGUUGUCCGGAAUUAUUGGGCGUAAAGCGCGCGCAGGCGGUUCUUUAAGUCUGAUGUGAAAGCCCACGGCUCAACCGUGGAGGGUCAUUGGAAACUGGAGAACUUGAGUACAGAAGAGGAAAGCGGAAUUCCACGUGUAGCGGUGAAAUGCGUAGAGAUGUGGAGGAACACCAGUGGCGAAGGCGGCUUUCUGGUCUGUAACUGACGCUGAGGCGCGAAAGCGUGGGGAGCAAACAGGGAUUAGAUACCCUGGUAGUCCACGCCGUAAACGAUGAGUGCUAAGUGUUAGGGGGUUUCCGCCCCCGUUAGUGCUGCAGCUAACGCAUUAAGCACUCCGCCUGGGGAGUACGGCCGCAAGGCUG